AACUUGUGCUAAUACCGAAUAAGCCUUUACAGGGAAAGUUUUAACGCCGAAAGAUGAGCCCGCACUUGAUUAGCUAGUUGGUAAGGUAAAAGCUUACCAAGGCAAUGAUCAAUAGCUGUUCUUAGAGGAAGACCAGCCACAUUGGGACUGAGACACGGCCCAGACUCC
RNAcentral lists this ribosomal RNA (168 nucleotides) under uncultured bacterium. Its description in RNAcentral is "partial 16S ribosomal RNA". It matches the Rfam family "Bacterial small subunit ribosomal RNA", at positions 155 to 339 of the family's 1533-position model. The record is from RNAcentral.